Molecule: small nucleolar RNA, 136 nt
Organism: Acipenser ruthenus (sterlet)
Lineage: Eukaryota; Metazoa; Chordata; Actinopteri; Acipenseriformes; Acipenseridae
Product: small nucleolar RNA SNORA22
Exons: 1
Source: RefSeq, a predicted model, not a curated record
UUGCACAGUGAACACCCCAGCGUGCCAUGUAGCACUCCUGGUCAUCUUAAUCUGUGCCAAAGUAAAAUCUGGUCUGUACCUCUGCAUUGAAAGAACUUUCUUUUCUUCUAAAUGUAUUCAACGGCCCAGUACAUGU